This 30-nucleotide non-coding RNA is filed under the name Homo sapiens (human). The record is from RNAcentral. Lineage: Eukaryota; Metazoa; Chordata; Mammalia; Primates; Hominidae.
UGGAAGAUGUGCGGGCCAAUGUGCCUGAGG